This is a non-coding RNA of Xenopus tropicalis (tropical clawed frog), 109 nucleotides long. Lineage: Eukaryota; Metazoa; Chordata; Amphibia; Anura; Pipidae. The record is from Rfam.
ACCUACGGCCAUACCAUCCUGAAAGCGUCUGAUCUCGGAAGCUAAGAAGGGAUGGGACUUGUUAGUACCUGGAUGGGAGCCCGCCUGGGAAUACCAGAUGUUGUAGGCU